Brachypodium distachyon (stiff brome) is the source of this 135-nucleotide non-coding RNA. NCBI's taxonomy places the organism in Eukaryota, Viridiplantae, Streptophyta, Magnoliopsida, Poales, Poaceae. The record is from Rfam.
AUUAUACUUCAUCUGUUCAAUAAAGGAUGUCUCAAUUUUGACUAAAUUUAAAUGUAUCUAUGCACUAAGUUAUGUCUAGAUAUAUCCAAAUUUUGACAAACUUAGACAUCUUUUGUUGGACAGAAGGAGUAGUAA